UACGAAGGGUGCAAGCGUUACUCGGAAUCACUGGGCGUAAAGCGUGCGUAGGCGGUUUCUUAAGUCUGUCGUGAAAGCCCUGGGCUCAACCUGGGAACGGCGAUGGAUACUGGGAAGCUAGAAUGUGAGAGAGGAUGGUGGAAUUCCUGGUGUAGCGGUGAAAUGCGCAGAUAUCAGGAAGAACACCCGUGGCGAAGGCGGCUCUCUGGAACGCAACUGACGCUGAGACGCGAAAGCGUGGGGAGCAAACAGG
RNAcentral lists this ribosomal RNA (253 nucleotides) under uncultured bacterium. Its description in RNAcentral is "partial 16S ribosomal RNA". It matches the Rfam family "Bacterial small subunit ribosomal RNA", at positions 524 to 776 of the family's 1533-position model. The record is from RNAcentral.